RNAcentral lists this ribosomal RNA (253 nucleotides) under uncultured bacterium. RNAcentral's name for it is "partial 16S ribosomal RNA". It matches the Rfam family "Bacterial small subunit ribosomal RNA", at positions 524 to 776 of the family's 1533-position model. The record is from RNAcentral.
UACGGAGGGGGCUAGCGUUGUUCGGAAUUACUGGGCGUAAAGCGCGCGUAGGCGGACUGUUAAGUCGGGGGUGAAAUCCCGGGGCUCAACCCCGGAACUGCCUUCGAUACUGGCGGUCUAGAGGUCUGGAGAGGUGAGUGGAAUUCCGAGUGUAGAGGUGAAAUUCGUAGAGAUUCGGAGGAACACCAGUGGCGAAGGCGGCUCACUGGCCAGAUUCUGACGAUGAGGUGCGAAAGAGUGGGGAGCAAACAGG